This 1017-nucleotide ribosomal RNA is filed under the name Wojnowiciella dactylidis. Its description in RNAcentral is "SSU rRNA". It matches the Rfam family "Eukaryotic small subunit ribosomal RNA", at positions 75 to 1102 of the family's 1831-position model. Lineage: Eukaryota; Fungi; Ascomycota; Dothideomycetes; Pleosporales; Phaeosphaeriaceae. The record is from RNAcentral.
UAUACCGUGAAACUGCGAAUGGCUCAUUAAAUCAGUUAUCGUUUAUUUGAUAGUACCUUACUACUUGGAUAACCGUGGUAAUUCUAGAGCUAAUACAUGCUGAAAACCCCAACUUCGGGAGGGGUGUAUUUAUUAGAUAAAAAACCAACGCCCUUCGGGGCUUCUUGGUGAUUCAUGAUAACUUUACGGAUCGCAUGGCCUUGCGCCGGCGACGGUUCAUUCAAAUUUCUGCCCUAUCAACUUUCGAUGGUAAGGUAUUGGCUUACCAUGGUUUCAACGGGUAACGGGGAAUUAGGGUUCGAUUCCGGAGAGGGAGCCUGAGAAACGGCUACCACAUCCAAGGAAGGCAGCAGGCGCGCAAAUUACCCAAUCCCGACACGGGGAGGUAGUGACAAUAAAUACUGAUACAGGGCUCUUUUGGGUCUUGUAAUUGGAAUGAGUACAAUUUAAACCUCUUAACGAGGAACAAUUGGAGGGCAAGUCUGGUGCCAGCAGCCGCGGUAAUUCCAGCUCCAAUAGCGUAUAUUAAAGUUGUUGCAGUUAAAAAGCUCGUAGUUGAACCUUGGGUCUGGCUGGCAGGUCCGCCUCACCGCGUGUACUUGUCCGGCCGGGCCUUCCUUCUGGAGAACCUCAUGCCCUUCACUGGGCGUGUUGGGGACCAGGACUUUUACUUUGAAAAAAUUAGAGUGUUCAAAGCAGGCCUUUGCUCGAAUACGUUAGCAUGGAAUAAUAGAAUAGGACGUGCGGUCCUAUUUUGUUGGUUUCUAGGACCGCCGUAAUGAUUAAUAGGGACAGUCGGGGGCAUCAGUAUUCAAUUGUCAGAGGUGAAAUUCUUGGAUUUAUUGAAGACUAACUACUGCGAAAGCAUUUGCCAAGGAUGUUUUCAUUAAUCAGUGAACGAAAGUUAGGGGAUCGAAGACGAUCAGAUACCGUCGUAGUCUUAACCGUAAACUAUGCCGACUAGGGAUCGGGCGAUGUUCUUUUUCUGACUCGCUCGGCACCUUACGAGAAAUCAAA